UACGUAGGGUGCGAGCGUUGUCCGGAAUUACUGGGCGUAAAGAGCUCGUAGGUGGUUUGUCGCGUUGUUCGUGAAAACUCACAGCUUAACUGUGGGCGUGCGGGCGAUACGGGCAGACUGGAGUACUGCAGGGGAGACUGGAAUUCCUGGUGUAGCGGUGGAAUGCGCAGAUAUCAGGAGGAACACCGGUGGCGAAGGCGGGUCUCUGGGCCGAUACUGACGCUGAGGAGCGAAAGCAUGGGUAGCGAACAGG
RNAcentral lists this ribosomal RNA (253 nucleotides) under uncultured bacterium. RNAcentral describes it as "partial 16S ribosomal RNA". It matches the Rfam family "Bacterial small subunit ribosomal RNA", at positions 524 to 776 of the family's 1533-position model. The record is from RNAcentral.